UAACACCGGCGUCACGGGUAGUAAUCAUGAUUAUUGGGCCUAAAGCGUCCGUAGCCGGUUUAAUAAAUUUCUUGUGAAAUUGUUUAGCUUAACUAAACAGCGUGCAAGAAAGACUGUUAAACUUGAAACCGGGAGGAGCUAGAGGUAUUUCAGGGGGAGCGGUAAAAUGCUAUAAUCCCUGAAGGACCACCUAUGGCGAAGGCUUCUAGCUAGAACGGAUUUGACGGUGAGGGACGAAAGCCAGGGGAGCGAUCCGGAUUAGAUACCCGAGUAGUCCUGGCUGUAAACGCUGCGAGCUAGGUGGUGCAUGUUCUUAGUGGACAUGCGGCGCCUGAGUGAAGACGUUAAGCUCGCCGCCUGGGAAGUAUGGCCGCAAGACUG
This 381-nucleotide ribosomal RNA is filed under the name uncultured Halobacteria archaeon. Its description in RNAcentral is "bacterial SSU rRNA". It matches the Rfam family "Archaeal small subunit ribosomal RNA", at positions 471 to 851 of the family's 1478-position model. The record is from RNAcentral. Lineage: Archaea; Methanobacteriati; Methanobacteriota; Halobacteria.